GGACACCCCUGGUCUAGGGGUAUGAUUCUCGCUAAGGGUGCGAGAGGUCCCGGGUUCAAAUCCCAGACGAGCCCA
Molecule: transfer RNA, 75 nt
Filed under: Hippoglossus stenolepis (Pacific halibut)
Lineage: Eukaryota; Metazoa; Chordata; Actinopteri; Pleuronectiformes; Pleuronectidae
Description: tRNA-Pro
Source: RNAcentral